CUCAUGGAUAAACAAUGUCCAGACUCCUGGGAACAUAUCCAACAGGCACCACAAAAUUGCAUUUCUACCUGUUCUUUAACUAUAGCAGCAAUGAGUUACAAUGCAUCCACAUGAAGCCCAGGAUGAUUCUAAGAAAAUAAAAAGUCUGAGAAGGUGGAGCCAAGUGCUUCAUUUUGAAGCAUGUCCAGAACGAUGAAAAGGGAGUAAACUACCAAAUCAUAAGAUUCUCGCACUCCUCCAUCCCCACCCCAAAUCCUUGUGUUGCUUGCCCUGAACUGAACAGAAUCAACAUGGGUCAUAUCUUAGCUGAUUCACCAAUCUCAAGACUGGCUGUUUUGUUUCAAACGUCAUUUGAACACAUGGCUCAUUU
Sceloporus undulatus (fence lizard) is the source of this 370-nucleotide long non-coding RNA. RefSeq lists it as uncharacterized. Lineage: Eukaryota; Metazoa; Chordata; Lepidosauria; Squamata; Phrynosomatidae. The transcript has 3 exons. The record is from RefSeq and is a predicted model, not a curated record.